CCCAAAUGGAUAGAGUGGAGAGAAUGGAGAGGAGGAGAAGAAAGUAGGAAGAGGAAGACAGAUGCAGAAGUGUGUCUGAGCUGAGCCUUGAGGAAUGGUCAGAAUUGACUGGGACACAGCAGAAAAGAGCCAUCUUGGAGGCAGAAAUCAGCCCUCACCCAACAAAUACUGGCAUCUUCAUCUUGGACUUCCAACCUCUAGAACCAUGAGAAAUAUAUUUUUGUUCUUUACACAUGGACCAAGAAGAUAAGCUGUCUGAUCCACACAUACCUGAAGUACAUAGAGACUCAUUGCUUUGGGUUACACAUUCACCUGCCACUGGGACUCCACCAUGCAUGGCCAUU
Molecule: non-coding RNA, 344 nt
Organism: Castor canadensis (American beaver)
Lineage: Eukaryota; Metazoa; Chordata; Mammalia; Rodentia; Castoridae
Source: RefSeq, a predicted model, not a curated record